Molecule: ribosomal RNA, 208 nt
Filed under: uncultured bacterium
Lineage: Bacteria
Description: partial 16S ribosomal RNA
Rfam family: Bacterial small subunit ribosomal RNA
Source: RNAcentral
CGCGUAGGCGGGCUCGCAAGUCCGGGGUGAGAGCCCCCCAGCUCAACUGGGGAAGCGCCUUGGAUACUGCGGGCCUCGAGGGAGGUAGGGGCGUGCGGAACUUCCGGUGGAGCGGUGAAAUGCGUAGAUAUCGGAAGGAACACCGGUGGCGAAAGCGGCGCGCUGGACCUCUUCUGACGCUGAGGCGCGAAAGCCAGGGGAGCAAACG